Molecule: non-coding RNA, 184 nt
Filed under: Trichormus variabilis SAG 1403-4b
Lineage: Bacteria; Bacillati; Cyanobacteriota; Cyanophyceae; Nostocales; Nostocaceae
Also listed under: 3 other names
Description: Anabaena variabilis SAG 1403-4b 6S / SsrS RNA
Rfam family: 6S / SsrS RNA
About the family: E. coli 6S RNA was the first non coding RNA to be sequenced, but its function was unknown until recently. It consists of 184 nucleotides that fold into an extended hairpin structure with a large single-stranded internal bulge.
Source: Rfam by way of RNAcentral
GUUACACUACGACGUUGGUGACUGCCCACAAGUUUUUUGAUCUAUGUCUUUAAGAAACUGGGAGCCAAAUAGUUCUUGUGGCAGUAUACCGGGCUUGUACCCGGAAACUUUAAACGAGCAACAUCCGUUCCCACCUGGUAUAACCAGGUCAUAAACUUAGGCAAAACGGCGUCGCGGUGAACUC